Long non-coding RNA from Terrapene triunguis (Three-toed box turtle), 269 nucleotides. RefSeq lists it as uncharacterized. NCBI's taxonomy places the organism in Eukaryota, Metazoa, Chordata, Testudines, Emydidae. The record is from RefSeq and is a predicted model, not a curated record. The transcript is spliced from 3 exons.
AGUUACUUCAAUGAGAAUCAAUAUCCUGAUGAGGCAAAGAGAGAAGAAAUUGCAAAUGCCUGUAAUGCAGUUAUACAAAAGCCAGGCAAAAAGUUGUCAGAUUUGGAGCGAGUUACCUCCCUUAAAGUGUACAAUUGGUUUGCCAACAGAAGAAAGGAAAUCAAGAGAAGAGCCAAUAUCGAAGCAGCAAUCCUGGAGAGCCAUGGCAUAGAUGUACAGAGUCCAGGAGGCCAUUCCAAUAGCGAUGACGUCGAUGGGAAUGACUAUUC